GCCAGCGGCGAUAGCACGUUGAAUAUGCUAAUUCCCGAUGGAUCACUGAAGUCAAGCAACGUUCCGCGUGGUUGGUAUCCGGAUGGGUGACUAUCUGGACGGUUGUGUGAUGCUGGCU
RNAcentral lists this ribosomal RNA (118 nucleotides) under Diaphorina citri (Asian citrus psyllid). Lineage: Eukaryota; Metazoa; Arthropoda; Insecta; Hemiptera; Psyllidae. The record is from RNAcentral.